This 300-nucleotide ribosomal RNA is filed under the name marine sediment bacterium BB0608_2216_4.1_8S0. RNAcentral describes it as "bacterial SSU rRNA". It matches the Rfam family "Bacterial small subunit ribosomal RNA", at positions 75 to 376 of the family's 1533-position model. The record is from RNAcentral.
GGUGCUUGCACCCCGCUGACGAGCGGCGGACGGGUGAGUAAUGCAUAGGAAACUGCCCAGUAGUGGGGGAUAGCCCGGGGAAACCCGGAUUAAUACCGCGUACGCCCUUCGGGGGAAAGCAGGGGAUCUUCGGACCUUGCGCUAUUGGAUGUGCCUAUGUCGGAUUAGCUAGUUGGUGGGGUAAAGGCCUACCAAGGCGACGAUCCGUAGCUGGUCUGAGAGGAUGAUCAGCCACAUCGGGACUGAGACACGGCCCGAACUCCUACGGGAGGCAGCAGUGGGGAAUAUUGGACAAUGGGG